CCCCUUUUUUUUUUUCCCCCGGGGGGGGGGCUCGGAGGGAUCAUUACCGAGUUUACAACUCCCAAACCCAAUGUGAACGUUACCAAACUGUUGCCUCGGCGGGAUCUCUGCCCCGGGUGCGUCGCAGCCCCGGACCAAGGCGCCCGCCGGAGGACCAACCAAAACUCUUAUUGUAUACCCCCUCGCGGGUUUUUUACUAUCUGAGCCAUCUCGGCGCCCCUCGUGGGCGUUUCGAAAAUGAAUCAAAACUUUCAACAACGGAUCUCUUGGUUCUGGCAUCGAUGAAGAACGCAGCGAAAUGCGAUAAGUAAUGUGAAUUGCAGAAUUCAGUGAAUCAUCGAAUCUUUGAACGCACAUUGCGCCCGCCAGUAUUCUGGCGGGCAUGCCUGUCCGAGCGUCAUUUCAACCCUCGAACCCCUCCGGGGGGUCGGCGUUGGGGAUCGGCCCUUUACGGGGCCGGCCCCGAAAUACAGUGGCGGUCUCGCCGCAGCCUCUCCUGCGCAGUAGUUUGCACACUCGCAUCGGGAGCGCGGCGCGUCCACAGCCGUUAAACACCCCAAACUUCUGAAAUGUGACCUCGGAUCAGGAGGAAUCCCCCGGUUU
RNAcentral lists this ribosomal RNA (603 nucleotides) under Trichoderma virens. RNAcentral describes it as "eukaryotic LSU rRNA". The stretch from base 247 to 400 matches the Rfam family "5.8S ribosomal RNA". Lineage: Eukaryota; Fungi; Ascomycota; Sordariomycetes; Hypocreales; Hypocreaceae. The record is from RNAcentral.